UAAAAAAGUGUGGAUUGUUAGAUUUUUCAAUUAUCAUUUAUGAAACAAAGUAUUUAUUUUAAUAUGUAGUAAAAGGAGACAUAAAAAAUAAAAGUGAAGAUAAAACAAAAUAAAAUAUAAAAAAUAAAACAAUAUAAAGAAAAUACAUAUAAAUGUCAUUUACAGUAUACAUGAAGUCCAUAUGAACUUCAAGUAUGAGAUAUUAGCAUGGAAAGGUCACUACGGUACACAUUAGCAUGAAAGGAGAUAUGGAUGAGUCAUUUUCGGUACAACAGUGCCCAUAUGAAUUUUGUUGCUAUUAUGUUUUAUAAACUUUAAAUCCUUAUCGUGACACAUUAGAAAGCCAAAUUAAACAAUAUAGAAAAAAGAACACUUAACCUUAACAUAAGUUACUCACACUAAACAAUUAUAUACAAUCGAGACAACACACAAAUAUCAAAACGCCAAAGCAUAUUAGCAGAAAAAAAGAGAUCACGUCAUCCUCCAAUAAUGAAUCAAAGUAAAUGCAACUUAAAAAUAAACAUU
This 525-nucleotide long non-coding RNA is filed under the name Lathyrus oleraceus (garden pea). RNAcentral's name for it is "Pisum sativum (pea) long non-coding RNA (PSAT_LNC002769)". The record is from RNAcentral. Lineage: Eukaryota; Viridiplantae; Streptophyta; Magnoliopsida; Fabales; Fabaceae.